CGAAUCUUUGAACGCACCUUGCACCUUUUGGUUAUUCCAAAAGGUACGCCUGUUUGAGU
Molecule: ribosomal RNA, 59 nt
Filed under: Coleosporium solidaginis
Lineage: Eukaryota; Fungi; Basidiomycota; Pucciniomycetes; Pucciniales; Coleosporiaceae
Description: partial 5.8S ribosomal RNA
Source: RNAcentral